CCAGAACGUAGCUUAACCACUUAAAGCGUCCGGCCUACACCCGGAAGACUUCGUACUAUCCGAACGUCCUGA
Molecule: transfer RNA, 72 nt
Filed under: Dremomys rufigenis (Asian red-cheeked squirrel)
Lineage: Eukaryota; Metazoa; Chordata; Mammalia; Rodentia; Sciuridae
Description: tRNA-Val
Rfam family: tRNA
About the family: Transfer RNA (tRNA) molecules are approximately 80 nucleotides in length. Their secondary structure includes four short double-helical elements and three loops (D, anti-codon, and T loops).
Source: RNAcentral